Molecule: long non-coding RNA, 894 nt
Filed under: Ovis aries (sheep)
Lineage: Eukaryota; Metazoa; Chordata; Mammalia; Artiodactyla; Bovidae
Description: lncRNA (ENSOARG00000025826.1)
Source: RNAcentral
CCUCCCCCCGCGGGUCGCCACUAGCCGGACAAGGCGGCGCCCCCCGGGGAGCCCGGCGAGGCCCGGCUCUUUCUCCGACCCCACCCAGCAGAGGGCCAGUCUGUGUGGCUCAGUUGGGUCAGGCGCUCUGGCCACUGACCAGCUCUUCUUUUGCAGGGGAAGAGGCAGCGGGGAUGGGGUGUGGGUGAGGUUUCCCUGCUUGGAUGCCGAAGAAGUGCGCCCGGAAAGCACCCAGGGAGUUCGAGGGGAAGGAGACGGCAGGGUCCUGAGACGGGGCGUGGGGAAGCUGCUAACAGGAAAGCCUGCGACAAUCUUUGGAAAAUGCUGAAUAGGGAAUGGAUUGGCAGACAUUAGAGGAACACCUUUAUGGAGAGGGGCUGCUAAAAGAAGAAAGACUAACAGUAUUGCAAGAGGCAGUACCUCAUUUAGACUUGGUGUUUCUGCAGGAGCCCCAGCUGAUUCAUCUCUGAAACUAGACGGUGAGGUCCCUUCUUGAUUUAGUAGUUUCCAGUUCUGUUAUCACUAGCUCUUUCAAUGAGGAGUGCAUGACUUAACACACUAUUGAAAUGAAUAAAUGAUUUAAAGACUGAAAUAUUGCACUCUUUUCUUUAAAUUUGGUCCUAUUUCUUAGACUGUUUCUGCACUUUUGGGAAAUUUAUGCAUAAAAUUUUGAAGUGAAACCUCAACCUGGACAUGUGUUCUAAUACUAAGUAUUCUCACAAUGGAACUUGUUGAAGGGUAUUGGAUUCCAAGCUAAGAGCUAAGGGACACAGGAGAAUUUGUGUGUCCUGUUACUUAGGCUGUGGAAGAGAAGCACACAGGAUCCCCCAGUCUGCUAUUACUGUGUUUAUUUAUAAGGUGAUUGCUGCUAAUUUAGUGUAUUCCUGAAAUUUU